RNAcentral lists this microRNA (23 nucleotides) under Daphnia pulex (common water flea). RNAcentral describes it as "Dpu-Mir-2-P5_5p* (star (passenger))". Lineage: Eukaryota; Metazoa; Arthropoda; Branchiopoda; Diplostraca; Daphniidae. RNAcentral also lists the same sequence under 1 other name. The record is from RNAcentral.
UAGGAACUACCGCUUGUGGUUGA